This 253-nucleotide ribosomal RNA is filed under the name uncultured bacterium. Its description in RNAcentral is "partial 16S ribosomal RNA". It matches the Rfam family "Bacterial small subunit ribosomal RNA", at positions 524 to 776 of the family's 1533-position model. The record is from RNAcentral.
UACGUAGGGUGCGAGCGUUAAUCGGAAUUAUUGGGCGUAAAGCGUGCGCAGGCGGUUGUGCAAGACAGAUGUGAAAUCCCCGGGCUCAACCUGGGAACUGCAUUUGUGACUGCAUGGCUAGAGUGCGGCAGAGGGGGAUGGAAUUCCGCGUGUAGCAGUGAAAUGCGUAGAUAUGCGGAGGAACACCGAUGGCGAAGGCAAUCCCCUGGGCCUGCACUGACGCUCAUGCACGAAAGCGUGGGGAGCGAACAGG